UACGGGGGGGGUAAGCGUUGUUCGGAAUUACUGGGCGUAAAGGGCUCGUAGGCGGCCAACUAAGUCAGACGUGAAAUCCCUCAGCUUAACUGGGGAACUGCGUCUGAUACUGGAUGGCUUGGAUUCGGGAGAGGAAUGCGGAAUUCCAGGUGUAGCGGUGAAAUGCGUAGAUAUCUGGAGGAAUACCGGUGGCGAAGGCGGCAUCCUGGACCAUAACUGACGCUGAGGCGCGAAAGCUAGGGGAGCAAACGGG
RNAcentral lists this ribosomal RNA (253 nucleotides) under uncultured bacterium. RNAcentral describes it as "partial 16S ribosomal RNA". It matches the Rfam family "Bacterial small subunit ribosomal RNA", at positions 524 to 776 of the family's 1533-position model. The record is from RNAcentral.